This is a small nucleolar RNA of Clarias gariepinus (North African catfish), 98 nucleotides long. RefSeq annotates it as small nucleolar RNA SNORD16. The transcript has a single exon. The record is from RefSeq and is a predicted model, not a curated record. NCBI's taxonomy places the organism in Eukaryota, Metazoa, Chordata, Actinopteri, Siluriformes, Clariidae.
UGCUGUGAUGGUGUAAUUUGCGUCUGACUCUGUGAUCAGUGACGGUUGCCUGCUGUCUAAUGCUGACACAGAGGGUUGAAGACAUCCAAGACUGAGCA